GUCCACGCCCUAACGAUGUCAACUAGGUGUCGGGAGCGCAAGUUCUUGGUACCGCAGCUAACGCGUGAAGUUGACCGCCUGGGGAGUACGGUCGCAAGAUUAAACUCAAAGGAAUUGACGGGACCCGCACAAGCGGUGGAUGAUGUGGAUUAAUUCGAUGCAACGCGAACAACCUUACCUACCCUUGACAUGUCCAGGAGGCCACUGAAAGGUGGCUGUGCCCGAAAGGGAAUUGGAACACAGGUGCUGCAUGGCUGUCGU
This 261-nucleotide ribosomal RNA is filed under the name uncultured bacterium. RNAcentral's name for it is "partial 16S ribosomal RNA". It matches the Rfam family "Bacterial small subunit ribosomal RNA", at positions 793 to 1055 of the family's 1533-position model. The record is from RNAcentral.